RNAcentral lists this unclassified non-coding RNA (383 nucleotides) under uncultured bacterium. RNAcentral's name for it is "contains 16S-23S intergenic spacer region". The record is from RNAcentral.
UCCGGUUUGGCACCGGCAGUCCUCCCAGAGUCCCCGCCAUGACGCGCUGGCAACUGGGAGCGGGGGUUGCGCUCGUUGCGGGACUUAACCCAACAUCUCACGACACGAGCUGACGACAGCCAUGCAGCACCUGUCUCCGGUCCAGCCGAACUGAAGAACUCCAUCUCUGGAGUCCGCGACCGGGAUGUCAAGGGCUGGCAAGGUUCUGCGCGUUGCGUCGAAUUAAACCACAUGCUCCACCGCUUGUGCGGGCCCCUGUCAAUUCUUUUGAGUUUUAGCCUUGCGGCCGUACUCCCCAGGCGGAACACUUAUCGCGUUGGCUUCGGCACAGACAGAUUCGACUCCGCCCACACCUAGUGUUCAUCGUUUACGGCGUGGACUAC